CUUUCCCAAGCUUUCCCACAAUUUCCCACCUUCUCACAUCCUCUCCCAUUUUCCCCCUCCAUCUCCCUUGCUUCCAAGGAAUUUUCCAUCUUUUGCCAACCUUUCCCAUCUUUUGAAUUUUUUCCUUGCUUUUCCUCUGCAUUCCAGCUUUUUUCCACCUUUUCAUAUGCUUUCCAAUCUUUUCCCAAAAUUCCCCAUUUUCCCACGUCUUCCCAUUUUUUUCCCUCCUUAUCCCUUGCUUUCCUGUCAUUUCCCAUCAUUUCCGAAUAUUUCCCUUGCUUUCCCAUCUUUUCCCAAAACUUCACACCUUUUCCCAUGAUUUCCUGGUUUUUUUCCUCCUUCUGCCUCUUUGCCAUCUUUUCCUGUAAUUUCCCAGCUUUUCCCAAGCUUUCCAUUUUUUUCACCCCUUCUCUUUCCCAUCUUUACCCAUUUUUCCCACCUUUUUACAUGCUGUCCCAUUUUUUCCCUCCUCCUCCCUUUCUUUCCCAGUUUUUCCCAUGCUUUCCUUCCUUUUCCCAUGCUUUCCCCUUUAUUCCCUCCUUAUCCUUUGUUUUCCCACCUUUUCCAGUUUUUUUUCCAUCUCUUUCUAAGUUUUCCCAUUUUUUUUCUUUCAUACUCCCAUGCUUUCCUGUCAUUUCCUAUCUUUUCCCAACUUUUCCCCUACUUUCCCAUCUAUGCCCAGCUUUUUUCAUGCUUUCCCAUUUUUUCCCUCCUUCCCCUUUGCUUUCUGGACUUUUCCCAUCUUUUCCUACAUUUUCCUAUGCUUUCCCAUUUUUUUCCCUCCUUCUCCCUUGCCCUCCCAUCUAUUCUGAAAAUUUCCCACCUUCUCCCAUGCUUUCUCAUUUAUUCUCUCCCUAUCCCUUGUUUUCUGGUAAAACUAUAAACCUAACCCUAACCCUUUGGGAAUACAAGAAAGGCUAUUCAGUGCAGAAGCUGCGGAGCAAGAUAAACAGCAUGGAAAGCAAGGCUGAGAACCAAGGACAUCUCCAGAAGAAGAGAAAAGCAAAGUUGAGUAAGCUGCAUGAUGAUGGCCCUGAUUGGAGGAAGAGGGCAUGGCUAGGAAUGACUCAUGGCUCUGAUUGGAUAAGCACCUGCAUGCACGGUUAAGGAGUGUUUGUGGAAUGUUUUGUAGACAUGUAAAGGCGGGUGGGAAAGUUAAAAGAGAAAAUUUGUGAAAGAAUAUAAGGGAUGUUAGAACCUGUAAUAAACAAAGUGGAUCGUUCA
This 1224-nucleotide long non-coding RNA is filed under the name Numida meleagris (helmeted guineafowl). RNAcentral's name for it is "lncRNA (ENSNMEG00000014085.1)". The record is from RNAcentral. Lineage: Eukaryota; Metazoa; Chordata; Aves; Galliformes; Numididae.